UACGUAGGGUGCGAGCGUUGUCCGGAAUUAUUGGGCGUAAAGAGCUCGUAGGCGGUUUGUCGCGUCGGCCGUGAAAACUUGGGGCUUAACUCCAAGCUUGCGGUCGAUACGGGCAGACUUGAGUUCGGCAGGGGAGACUGGAAUUCCUGGUGUAGCGGUGAAAUGCGCAGAUAUCAGGAGGAACACCGGUGGCGAAGGCGGGACUCUGGGCCGAUACUGACGCUGAGGAGCGAAAGCGUGGGGAGCAAACAGG
This 253-nucleotide ribosomal RNA is filed under the name uncultured bacterium. RNAcentral describes it as "partial 16S ribosomal RNA". It matches the Rfam family "Bacterial small subunit ribosomal RNA", at positions 524 to 776 of the family's 1533-position model. The record is from RNAcentral.